RNAcentral lists this ribosomal RNA (253 nucleotides) under uncultured bacterium. RNAcentral describes it as "partial 16S ribosomal RNA". It matches the Rfam family "Bacterial small subunit ribosomal RNA", at positions 524 to 776 of the family's 1533-position model. The record is from RNAcentral.
UACGGAGGGUGCAAGCGUUGUUCGGAAUUACUGGGCGUAAAGCGCGUGUAGGCGGUCUCCUAAGUCUGGUGUGAAAGCCCGGGGCUCACCCCCGGAAGUGCACUGGAUACUGGGAGACUGGAGUACCGGAGAGGAGGGUGGAAUUCCUGGUGUAGCGGUGAAAUGCGUAGAUAUCAGGAAGAACACCGGUGGCGAAGGCGGCCCUCUGGACGGAUACUGACGAUGAGACGCGAAAGCGUGGGGAGCAAACAGG